RNAcentral lists this unclassified non-coding RNA (245 nucleotides) under rhizosphere metagenome. RNAcentral's name for it is "partial ribosomal RNA internal transcribed spacer region". The record is from RNAcentral.
CGCGCGAGUCCCGCUGACCAGUCUCCAGGUGAACCUGCGGAAGGAUCAUUACCGAGUACCGGGCGCAAGCCCGUACCCACACACCAUGUCUACUUUCCACGUUGCUUCGGCGGGCCGUUGGGUGCCCCACCCCCGGCCUCACGGCUGGGGUGUGCCCGCCGGAGGACCAGUCAAACGCGUUGCAAACCGUCCGUCCGAGUCUAUUUGAAUCAGUCAAAACUUUCAACAACGGAUCUCUUGGCUCG